GGCAGUGACAUGUAAUGGUUAUGAGGGUGGACUUUAACCACACUGCCUAGGUUCAAAUCCUGACUCUGUCA
This 71-nucleotide transfer RNA is filed under the name Homo sapiens (human). RNAcentral describes it as "tRNA-Sup-TTA-2-1". Lineage: Eukaryota; Metazoa; Chordata; Mammalia; Primates; Hominidae. The record is from RNAcentral.